UCGAUGGCUCUGUGUCAUUGUUCAUCAUUGCAUUAUCCCGAAUGAUCAUCUAUUAAACGCCAUGAGACCGAGCCUAAUUAUUCAUAGGUGCUAAUUACAUGUUCAAACUUUCUGGGAUAUCAAAAACCAAAGAACUGAAAGGUUUUCGCAAAUUUUGGGAUCUAUUUUGAAAUUUUGAAGUCUUGGGAAAUCCCAGUACCUACUUUACCGGAAACUUUCGAUCACGCUGCCUGUAAUCUGACGAACAACCUGUGACCAAUGUCAAUAUUGGGCCUUAGAACACACCAAGCUCGUUCCCUCAAGUGGUAAAUGGAUAAUCGAACUUUAAUUUUGUUUACAAAUUGUCGGCGAUUGACGUCAAUCGAACAAGUAGAAUCUGUACACUCAUUGUCCAUAGAGCCAAGCGGGAAGUACAGAACUGCUGGUGAUGCAGGCGAAUAACUUGUUCAAUCAACCUCAUCAUCCUCCGACGAACGCAAUUGAUGGCUAUUUAUCCGCGGCAUGAAGUCCCCCACGACCAUCAUCGGCAAUUUUCGGUUCAAUUAUCCGGCACCGCGCCGCGCCGCACCGCGUCACACACGCGUCCCGGUGAAACAACUUUGAAUCUGCGUGGAUAAUUACCCACGGUGUUGUUCUCGGAAUGAUUCUGACUAUUUUGGGAUUCGAUAUGGUAUCAAACCCACAAAAAAAAAGCGCUGACCAAAGGUGAUACGAUGGCGUCUUCUUCGGUUGAUUUAUGUAUACUUUCCUGUACGCCCAUCAUCAUCGGACGGACAAGAACUGGAUUUUUUUUUGUUUUCUAUGCGGUGAAGUACCCUGCCACACGACACCCAACCAACCAGCGGUUGGUAAAGCCGAGGUCGAGUACAAGUGGAUUUACUGGCGUCAUUACAGGGAAGAUUAACGAUCGCCGCCAGUCAGCGGGUACUCCGGUGUACACACUUCAUGAAGUUUACACUGUUUUGAUGAGUGGUGGUAAAAAGUAGAUAAACCAUAGCCCCAAGAAUGACGGGUUUUGCGGUAGCAGUUGAGGGUCCUAUAAAAUUAGAUUGUUCAUAAUUUAUGGCCGUGCGGUGGUCACAGUUGAACAGUUUGGGACGCAAAAACAGAUGAACGUGUUCGUCUUUCACAGUUUGAUGGAGAUUGUUUGAUGACCAUCCAGGAUGUCGACGGCUUCUGACUGAUUUCAGGCAAAAACACGGGUUAAUAAAUUUGUAGCAGGGUAGCUAAAGCUCGUUCCGGGAUUCCUCUCGGAAUUUCAUCUGCUUUUGUUUGGAAUUCGCGGAAAUUAUUCCCUGGAGUUUCAUGCUCUCACUCUAAAAAGGAAAAUAAGGAACUCUAAGCAUACCUUAGAGAAAAAAUAAUGAAAAAAUAAGAAAUUUGCUAUCAAUAGUAAAGUUCUAAUAGACUAAACAUGAUCACACGAAAAAAAUUGCAGUCUUUGGUGUAGUUCCAAAAAAAUCUCCUCUCACUCAUCUAAACUCUAAACGAGCGCAAGAGAUGAUAACUAUUCUGAAGGAAAAAGGACUGUAAGAUUACAUUGCAGCUUAUUACAAAAAUGUCUAUCUAAAAAUUUUCUCUGAGUUCUCUUUCGCUUCUACUCUCAUUCGAUCUAAUUUUACCUUUUUUCUAUUCAGUAAGACCAUGGUGAGAGUGUCAGGGUUCGAUUUAGGUCGAUCUAGCCACAAAUGACGAUGCCUUUUUCUAACUUUUUUUUACAUUCCCUUACUGCCCUUGUAGCAUAUUUGUUGGAAAAAAAAACACAGGCGAGGCUUUGUUCUCCAAACCCAGGCACUGACUGAUAUCGCUACCAGCUCAGUGCCUCUCCUUUAUUCAAUCUAGGUAUAACAUAUUUACAAUUUAUUUCCAUUUACCUACCAGUUGAUACCUAGCUCUCCACUGAGCAGUGUGAUGCACUUCCAAGGAUGUACCUACCAUUCAACACUCCUCCUCAUCACACACUCUCAGAUCCGACGCGUCCCGAGCUUCACCUGGCCACGUACUCCUCCAGCCUACCGAGCUCCUCCUUAGCAACCGAGCUACCAGACUCCUCCUGGCUCCAAGCAGACUCUGCUACCAGGCCCUGGCUCCAAGCUACGUCUGCUACUAAGAGGCUACCAAGCUCCUCCUGGCUCGAAGCGUCUUCCGCCUCAAGUACCUUCUGCCAUCCAGCUCCAGCGUCCAUCGAUCAGCCAGCACCUUCUGCCUCUUGGUUCCAGCGCAGGUUCCAGCACGGCUAUCAAUCCUCACCGAGUGUUGGUCCCCUCACCGCAUCUUGGUGUCUCAACGAAUAUUGGCACCAGGCCUCAUCGCAUCUUGACACCUCAUCGGGUAUUGGCCUCCUCAUCGUAUCUUGGAUACCGCAUCUCGGUCUCCUCGCUUCCCGAACCACCACCAGGGCGUCCCUGGGCCCAUAACCUGUUGGAAAUAAAAAACACAGGCGAGGCUUUGUUCUCCAAACCCAGGCACUGACUGAUAUCGCUACCAGCUCAGUGCCUCUCCUUUAUUCAAUCUAGGUAUAACAUAUUUACAAUUUAUUUCCAUUUACCUACCAGUUGAUACCUAGCUCUCCACUGAGCAGUGUGAUGCACUUCCAAGGAUGUACAUACCAUUCAACAAUAUUACACUAUCGAAAAAUAUCCUUGCUCCUCACAUGGAGUAAUCCUUACAGGAACCGCGUGAACUUAUCUUGAGAAAUCGAGUUUCAGGAAAAAUCCUAUAAGGAAUAUCGCAAUCCACGAGGAAUUUCGUCAGAAAUCGCUGGAACAAUCACGUGAGCAAGUCAUGAAAUAAUCCUGGAGUAAUCCCUGAAAGAUAUGAAGAAGUGUCCCUGAGAGUCUUCCGGAGGAAUUCUUGAAUUAGCCCCAGGAGGAGUUAAGGAAAGAAUCUCGAAAAGAUUCUUGGAGAAAUCAUCUCGGAAAGCUUUCCUGAAAGAAUCUCGGGAGAAAUCCCUGAAUGAGUCCUGGGAGAGAUCCCUUAUGGGAAUUAAGGAAUCGCUGGAAAAAUUACUGGAAUAUUCGAGAAUAAAUCUUCGGAAGAAUUUCCUGAAAGAAUUAUCCAGUCAAUGAUAGGAUCCCGGAAAAAAUGAGUAGAGGAAUUCCGAAAAAAAAACCUGAAAGCAUGUCGAGAAAAAUUCCUCAAGGAAGCCCGUGGAAAAAUCAAUGAAGAAAUCCCGGUAGAACUCAAUAAAAGAACCCUAGGAGGAAUACUUGAAGAAAUUCCGGAAUGAUGCCUGGAAGAAAUUCCCUGAAAGAAUUCCGGGAGACACCCCAGGAAUAACUCUGAAGAAUUUCUCGAAAAAAUCGCGCCAGAAAUCCCUUAAUAUUGUUGGUGUUAACACUGAAUGAAUCAGAAAAGAGUCUCUUUGAAUUUCCUUGAAGAAUCUUUGGAAGAAUCCAGGAAGAGAUGUCUUAAACAAUCUUCGAGGAAUACGAGAUGAAACCCCAGGAGCAAUGCCUGAAGAAAAUCAUCGAAUGAAUUUCUGGAGGAAUCCUAAAAGGAACUAGUGUAUGUAUCGCGGGAAGAAUCUCCGUACAUCUCAGAAGGAUUCCCUGUAAAAAAUCUGAAGAUAUCCCCAAAGGAAACUCUGAAAAGAUCCUUGAAAAAAUCAUUUAAAGAAUCUUGGGAGCAAUCUCGAAGAAAUACCGAGAUAAAUUCAUAAGGAAGGAAACCCAAAAAGAAUCAAUGAAGGAAUCACGGGAGAAACAUCUGAAGGAAUCCCUGAAAGGAUCCAGGAGAAAUCCCCAACAGAACUCCAAAGGACAAUCAGUGAAGUAAUCACAGAAGGAGUCCCGGAAGAAAUUUCACUAAUGAACCAGUGUUGAUACUGGCAACACUUCUGGUCACGCUCCGAUGACGGCCGGAGCGAACCGUCAAACUUAUGUCAGGGAAUCUGUAGUGGUGGGUGAUGACAAUUAAUAGAGCAAUGUGAUGGCCAGCCUCGUCAUCGUUAUUGUUGGCCAAAGUACAGUGAAGAACACUUGUGUAAGCUAUUUGUGCCUAGUAUCUACAGCUAUAAAAAUUCAUAGAUUGUUAUUCCCGAUAACCUACACAAAACGUUACACAAAUUAUACUCCUCGUGUUAACGGUAGUACGGUUAGAAUUGUGCGAUAAAUUACCCAUGCAAACGAUUUUCUCUAAAGCUACAUUACCACCAACAUAACGGUGUUGUGAUUUGCUACAAGAAAUCGACCAGGGGUUCGCAGUUCAUAACCACAACGGGAACAAACUUUAGAGAAAAUCGACAGCAGUUUCUAUAAACUCGUCGAUAUGGAAUCGAAUCCACAAAAAUCCCUCCCGGACAUGCACAGCGAGCUAACAUUGAAUCCCGCACACACGCUCGACGAAAACCGGUCAGAUUGCGUACGGUGCGACCGCCGGAACGGCGAAGAUUCAAUGGUGCAGUGCGACACUUGUCAGACGUGGUGGCACUUCGCAUGCGCAGGCGUCACCGACUCGAUCAACGAUCGAUCGUGGUCCUGUCCAAAAUGUCAGGUAGACGAUCUGGGCAGUAGCGUGUCUCAUUCUCGUCGCUCCCGAAUCUCCAAUAGCUCGGUUAAAUCAGCGAGAGUGAAUCUGCAGCUUGAGAAGCUGGAGGAGCUCCAAGCAAUGAAAGAGAAGUUUAUCGAGGAGAAAUACAAGCUGCUAGAAUCUCAACUGGAGGGCGAAAACGAGAGUAUUCGGAGCAAACGUAGCCGAGUCAGCAAGCAAACCAGCCUCGAUAAGGUAGCGAAUUGGGUAAACAAAUGCGCAGAGCAGAAGGAUGACGUCAACGUGCCUACCUCAAAGGACACCGAUUCUCCAUUGCCGCCAGCCCAUUCCAGCCAUCCCGUGGCGAACGCACACAUCGAUGGCAAACACAUUCCGGAUGAAGUGCAGUUUCCAGUGGGCGAUAAUCAACAGAGUCCCCUCAAACAUCCUUCGUUGCCCAAGCAGCGAUUCGCUCCACCAGCUGCAGCCACCAAACCCGCUCUAGAAUAUACUAAAACGAAUCCGAAUCAGGGCGAAGAUUCAGCCAAACGUUCCGUUUUCAAUAAGCUCACAGGGACAGCACCUUUGGCCCAAUCGACCCCUGGCUACCCCUCGUUUGCUCCUGCGACACUGGUGCUACCAGCAUCGUCACUGCCAACAGUGGUGUCCAAAACAACAGACGGUCCGUCCAUGGCGCCGGUGUACUCGCUUGCAUCUGCGCACAAAUCCACUGUGACGGGGUUGUUCCCUUCAGUACUGAGCUCGAUGCCAUCCGGUGCCGCGGCCGCCCCGUAUCAGUUGGCCUCCAUCCCAGAGAACUCUCCCGAAAAGCAAACGUUUUCGCAAAUUUUUCCAGGAUCCGUAUCGGCUCCACCACCUCCCGCGGUAGUGCGGGCACCGCCGAUGUCGAUGAUUUCUCAUCCUGCCGCUCCGUCUCAACAAUUUAGCCAUCACCAGGGGAAUUUGGCGUCGAUUCUCAGUGCACCCAUACCCCCGCCGGUGUUCCAAGCUGCGCCGAUACUUCCAUCAGUCUCGGCACCGUACCACCUACCAACGUAUCCGGUGGUUCCAUCGAUGCUUCAAACGGCACACGCAUCUGCUCCUGCGCCAGCCCUUGGACCUGUGUCGGCAACUUCGCCGGCGAUCGCAUCUACACCUGCAUCGUCCCUCGUGCCACCGUCCGCGCCGGCCGCCCAGCCUGCAUCUUUGGUCAGAGAAGUAUUAUUCCCUCAGCCACCAGGUGAGCCAGAUAUUUGUCCUCCAGUGAAUAUGCAACCAACCAGUAAUGAUAAUAACAUUCAACAUCUAAUGAGGCAAUUUGGUAGCAUUGCUUUGUCGCCCGCGCAAUCACCAUUCCUCAACACAAAUUUAGCCACUUUUGCCCCCUCCCCCUCGCAGUUAGCUGCCAGGCAAGUCAUGCCUCGUGACUUACCUCCCUUUUCUGGCAACCCAGCCGAUUGGCCAGUGUUCAUAAGCUGUUUUAUGAACACUACGUUAGCUUGUGGGUACUCCAGUGCCGAAAAUCUGUGCCGCCUCCAGCGAAGCCUGAAGGGCGCGGCGUACGAGGCCGUUCAAAGUAGACUACUUCUACCUGAAUCGGUACCUCACAUUAUGGAAACUCUCCAUAUGCUUUAUGGCCGUCCAGAGCUGCUGAUUUCAGCCCUCUUGGACAAAGUUCGCUCGACACCACCACCAAAAGUGGAGAAAUUUCAAACGAUUAUUGAUUUUGGGAUGUCUAUACAAAGUCUCUGCGAUCACCUUGAAGUCGCAGGACAAACCGCCCAUCUGUCAAAUCCAUCUCUUCUCGCGGAACUCGUCACAAAACUCCCACCACAUCUUCAAAUGGAAUGGGGCUCAUAUCUCCAGGGAUUUUCGGAGGUUAAUCUGAAAACGUUCGGCCUCUUCAUGUCCAGUGUAGUGAAAGCAGUGAGCAAAGUGACAGUGUACGCCAGCAGUAGUGGAAGGUCUCCAGCAUUCGGGAAGAACAGUUCGAACUCGAGAGGAAGUGUCAACACCCACCGUAGUGACCCGAUUUUCAGCUCCGAAUCCAGUCGUGAGGGUGCAAAGCAUUGUCCAGCCUGCAAGAACGUCGGGCAUCGAAUCCAGGAUUGUCGGGCCUUCCAAUCACUUUCCGUGGACGGCCGCUGGAAGUGUGUUCAGUCAAACGGGUUGUGCCGAAACUGCUUGAGUUCGCAUGCUAGAAGAAGCUGUAGAAAAACCAGCAACUGCGGGACGAACGGUUGCGAAUACCGGCAUCAUCCGCUUCUACAUUCGCCGCGGAACAGUACAGACACGCAGAUUCAACCGUUAGUGAAUACCGCAGAAAACCAUACGCAUCGGCAGGGGCAACAAUCGCUACUCUUCAGAAUACUACCAGUGACCCUGCACGGGCCCAAAGGAUCAGUGGAUACUUUUGCGUUCCUCGACGAUGGAUCAUCUUUGACGCUAGUUGAAGACAGCCUGGUCAAAGAGUUGGGCGUCGAAGGUGUAACGAUGCCGUUAUGUUUACUAUGGACAGCGAACGUAUCACGCACAGAGAAGGGGUCCAAGCAACUGUCGCUUACCGUUUCAUCAACUGAUGGGAAAAGAUACUCACUCGAGGAAGUUCAAACCGUAAAGGAGUUGUCGUUGCCCACACAAUCGCUGCCAUACGACCAUCUCUCCGAGCAGUUUGCACAUCUUAAAGGUCUUCCUGUUAAGAGCUAUUCCAAGGCGACUCCAAAGCUACUGAUUGGAGUCAACAAUCUAGAUUUGAUGGUUCCAUUAAAAGUGCGCGAAGGAUACAAACGCGAACCCAUCGCUGCCAAAACCAGACUAGGAUGGUGUAUCUAUGGCGGUAAAGCGAGCGACGGACAACAAUUAUCAGUAAACUACCAUGCCUGUGGAUGUGCAUCGGACCAGUCACUACACAACCUCGUCAAGGAUUUCUUCUCUACGGAAGACAUCAGUGUACCGACCGUAGCUCCUCUCGUAUCAGCAGCAGAAGAACGCGCUCUGCGAAUACUGCAGGAUACUACAGUGCGGGUCGGCAAUCACUUUGAGACGGGCUUAUUAUGGAAGUUUGACCAUGUUGAACUUCCUGAUAGCUAUGGUAUGGCUCGUCGACGACUGGAGUGCCUGGAAAAACGUAUGAUGCGGAACCCGGAUCUCAAGCAAGCGUUACAGACACAGCUGGAGGAUUAUCAGGCCAAAGGAUAUGCACAUCGCGCCACUGAGGAGGAGCUAGCAAGCGCUGACAUUCGACGCGUAUGGUACUUGCCGCUAGGAGCAGUAGUGAACCCUCGGAAGCCAGGCAAGAUUCGCAUGAUCUGGGAUGCUAGAGCAGCCGUGAACGGGAUCUCGCUCAACUCAGUGUUACUGAAAGGUCCCGACCAACUUACGUCCCUUCCUGGCGUUCUAGUACGGUUUCGUCAAUUUCAUGUGGGAGUCUGCUCUGAUAUAAAGGAGAUGUUUCACCAAAUCCUUAUACGCAAGGAAGAUCGCCACUCGCAGAGGUUUCUUUGGCGCUGCGAUUCGUCCGAAACACCUGAAGUGUACCUAAUGGAUGUUGCUACGUUCGGUUCGACCUGCUCCCCGGCAUCAGCCCAAUAUAUUAAAAACAAGAAUGCCAAGGAGUUUCAAGAGACGUACCCUCGAGCAGUCGAAGGAAUUGUCGACAAUCACUAUGUGGACGACUCUCUUGAAAGUUAUGAGUCCACAGAGGAGGCAAUAAAAGUAUCCCAGGAAAUGCGUUUCAUCCACGCGCAUGGAGGGUUCGAGCUGAGGAACUGGUUAUCCAAUAGCAGCGAAGUUCUGAACGCUUUAGGUGAAGUUAAACCCGGAGAAGACAAGAAAUUCGCGACGGACAAGCAAAGCAACUUCGACCGUGUACUCGGGCUCCUGUGGUUGACACAGGAAGACUCAUUCAGCUUCUCAACCGAGAUGAAGGAAGAUAUUACUGAGCUGUUGCAGAGCGACCAACAUCCUACUAAAAGACAAAUGCUGAAGUGUCUGAUGUCACUCUUUGAUCCUUUGGGUCUGCUAAGCCUCUUUGUGGUGCACGGGAAGAUUCUUCUUCAAGAAGUCUGGAGAGAAGGGAUACAAUGGGACGAAAAAGUGAACAACGAUCUGCAUCAAAGGUGGAAAAGUUGGACCCACCUGUUCAAAGAUGUUCGAAACCUGAAAAUUCCUCGCUGCUAUUUCAUUGCUGCUACCAAGGAGAGAUAUCGGGAUCUUCAACUUCACGUUUUUGUGGAUGCCAGUGAGAGUGCGUACAGCGCAGUAGCGUAUUUUCGAACAUCGAACGCUGAAGGACUACCAGAAUGUGCGCUCAUUGCAGCGAAAACGAAGGUGGCUCCCUUGAGGACCCAAUCCAUUCCUCGAUUGGAGUUACAGGCUGCAGUACUGGGCGCUCGACUGUCGCAGUUCGUGGAAGAAAACCAUACUCUACGCAUUUCAAAGAAAGUCUUUUGGAGUGACUCAGCAACCGUCCUCUCCUGGCUGCGAGCUGACCAUCGACGAUAUAAACAAUUCGUCGCGUGCAGGAUCGGAGAAUUGCUGACCAUCACCGAUGUUGGAAACUGGCGGUGGGUUCCAACCAAACAGAACCCAGCAGAUCUUGCAACGAAGUGGGGAAACGGGCCCAACCUAACGGCCAACAGCGUAUGGUUCAGAGGUCCCGGUUUUCUUCAAUUAUCGGAAGACGAAUGGCCAGUGCAGAAAACGUCGACGCCCUCUACAGAAGAAGAGCUACGCCCCUGCUAUGCGCAUAAGGCUACGAGUAUUCCUGUACGUUUGGUAGAACUUGAGCGCUUCUCUCAGCUUACCCGAGCUACUCGAGCUGUUGCUUACGUUUUACGUUUCAUUGGGAACCUCAAGCGGAAAGUCACACGACAGGAGGGAUUCGUUGGCCCGUUAUCUUCGGAAGAACUGGUACGAGCUGAAUGUCUGCUUAUCCGUGAGACACAGUGGCAAUCUUUUCCGGACGAAAUGGUUGUCCUUGUACGCAACCGAUCGAAGCCUAGGACCGAACAAGAAUCUCUGGGAAAAUCUAGUGCCCUCUAUCAACUAUGUCCAGUUUUGGAUGAGCAUGGCAUCCUUCGCGUUGAUGGCAGAAUCGGAGCAGCCCCAAAUGUCAAUAUGCAAACAAAAUUUCCGAUGAUCCUCCCGCGGAAACACAAAUUUACUGAACUACUAUUGGAUGGCUACCAUCGUAGAUUUUUACACAGUAACGCUGAGACUGUAGUGAAUGAGGUUCGCCAAGCUUACUACAUCCCAAGACUCAGGUUGGCGGUUAAAGGCGCAGCUAAAGCUUGUCAAUGGUGUAGAGUCUACAAAAGCACACCGGAGAUUCCCCGUAUGGCACCUCUGCCACUAGCAAGAAUGGCGUCGUUUAUGAGACCGUUUACCUACACAGGCCUGGAUUUCUUUGGGCCGUUAACGGUGAAGAUCGGGAGAAGCAACGCAAAACGCUGGAUAGCCGUGUUCACAUGUUUGACCAUACGGGCGGUACACGUUGAAGUAGCUCACAAUCUAACCACGGAUUCGUGCAUCAAAUGCAUUCGACGGUUCAUUUGUCGCAGAGGAGCACCAGCCGAGAUAUAUUCGGACAACGGAACCAAUUUUCUAGGCGCCGCCAGACUUCUUCGGGAUCAAGUUGAGCAGUUGGCCGUAACAUUCACGGGCACCGCUACCAAGUGGGUAUUCAUUCCACCUGGCACUCCGCAUAUGGGCGGAGCAUGGGAGCGGAUGGUCCGCUCCAUCAAAACAGCCGUUGAAGCGGCGUACAACAACAACCGUAAACUGAAUGACGAGGCGUUGGAAACGUUUAUGGCGGAAGCCGAAGCUAUCGUGAACAGCCGUCCUCUCACAUACCUGCCGCUAACGUCGGAGGAAAGCGAAGCUCUCACUCCAAAUCAUUUUUUGCUGGGCAAUUCGAACGGCGUUAAACAACCUGCUGUCGAAGCAACGGAUCCAGCGGUAGCUCUCCGCUCAUCUUGGCACCAAGUUCAGCACCAGCUCGACAUGUUUUGGAGGAGGUGGCUUAAAGAGUAUUUGCCAACGCUGACAAGACGACCGAAGUGGUGUGGCGAAGCAAAGGCAGUGGCGGAAGGACAACUGGUCCUGGUGGUCGGUGAAGGAAAAAGAAACGAGUGGACAAGAGGCCGUGUUGUCGAAACCAUUCAAGGGGCUGAUGGGAGAGUACGGCAAGCUAUUGUCCAAACUGCGAGGGGGCUUGUUCGUAGACCGGUGGCUAGGUUGGCAGUAUUAGAGGUUGAUGAGGUUGGUAAAACUGGACCUGGUGGCCAGUGUUACGGGGGUGAGGAUGUUGAUACUGGCAACACUUCUGGUCACGCUCCGAUGACGGCCGGAGCGAACCGUCAAACUUAUGUCAGGGAAUCUGUAGUGGUGGGUGAUGACAAUUAAUAGAGCAAUGUGAUGGCCAGCCUCGUCAUCGUUAUUGUUGGCCAAAGUACAGUGAAGAACACUUGUGUAAGCUAUUUGUGCCUAGUAUCUACAGCUAUAAAAAUUCAUAGAUUGUUAUUCCCGAUAACCUACACAAAACGUUACACAAAUUAUACUCCUCGUGUUAACGGUAGUACGGUUAGAAUUGUGCGAUAAAUUACCCAUGCAAACGAUUUUCUCUAAAGCUACAUUACCACCAACAUAACGGUGUUGUGAUUUGCUACAAGAAAUCGACCAGGGGUUCGCAGUUCAUAACCACAACGGGAACAACCAGGAAGAAUCCAUAAAACAAUUUCUGAGCGAAUCUCAGGUGGAAUCUCUGAAGAAAACGAGGGCAAAAUCAAUGAAGAAAUCCCAGAAAGACAGUCAAGGAAAAAUAUCUAAAGAAAUCCAGAAAAAAAAUCUGAAGGAAUCCCUGCUGCAAUACCGGGAAUAAACCUUGAAAGAGUGCCGGUAGUAAACCAGGGAGGAUUCAUUGAAAGAAUGCCAGAGGUAGUCCUUGAUGGAAUGCGAAAAAUUUCCAUGAACGAAUUCCCUGCAGGAAUCUCUAAAGGAAUCCCGGGAGGAAUCAAUGAAGGAAUCCCGCGAGGAGUUUCUCUAGAAUUCUUGGAGGAAUCCUUGACAGAAUCCUGGAGGAAUUCCUGACGAAAUCCCAGGAGCAAUCCCUGAGGAACAUCCGGGAAGAAUUAAUGAACGAAUCCCGGAAAGAAUCCCAGAAAGAUUCCCGAGGGAAUUGUUGAAGGAAACUCAGAAAAAAAUGCCAGCAAAAAAAACCUUUGAAGUGUUUCAGGAGAAAUCAAUGAAGAAAUUCCGCGGGAAUCUCUGAAGUAAUCUAGGGAAGAUUACCUGAUAGUUUUCCUUGAAGAAAUCCUCGAGGGAAACCCAGGAGAAAUUUCUGAAGGGAUCCAGUGAGAAAUCGAUGAAAUAAUCCCAGAAAGUUCCAGGAAGAAUCCACAAAAGUAUUAUUCAAUGAGUCUCCGCAAUAUCUAUGAAGGGAUUAAUCGUCGGAGAAAUCCCUAAAGGAAUUUCCGAAAAAAAAUCUGAAAGAAUCUCAGGAGGAUACCCAGGAAGAAUGCUGGGGGUAUUUCUGAUGAAACUCAAGAAUAAUCCGUGAAAGACCCCGAAAAAAUCCGGGGAAAAAUCUUAAGGAAUCACAGGAUAAAUCAACGAAGGAAUCCCGGGAGGAACCCCUAAAGGAUUUCCAGAAAAAAAAAUCCUGCAGGAAUCCUUGUCAGAAUCCUCAAAGGGAUUCAAGGAUAAAUUCCUCAAGGAAAGAAUUUUAAACAGAAUCCCGUGAAAAAAAAACUGAAAGAAUCCAGGGAAGAUUCCUUAAGGAAAAUCCGGAAGAAAUUUCUAAAGGAAUCCAGUGAAAAAUCGACGAAAGAAUCCGGGAAAAUUCUAGGAAGAAUGCACAAAAGUAUUCAAAGAAAUCCCUAAUCGAAUCCCCGGAAGAAAUCCCUGAAGGUAUCUCGAGUGAAAAUCCAGGAAGAAUUCUGGAGAAAUUGCUGAUGAAAAUUGAAGAAUAAUCCGUGAAAGACCCCAAAAGGAUCCGAGGAGGAAUUUCUGAAGGAAUCACAAGAGAAAUCGAAAAAAGGAAUCCCGGGAGGAAUCAUUGAAGGAAUCUCAGGAAAAAUUCCUGAUGGAAUGCCAGAAAAUAUCUUCGAAGAAUCCUGGGAGGAUUCUUUCUGAAGUAAUCGCGGAAGGAAUCAAUCAAAGAAUCUCAGGAGAAAUCCCUAACGGAUUUCCAGAGGAUAAAAUCCUGAAAGAAUCAUUGCCAGAAAUUCCUGAAGAACAUACGAAAAGAAUCGCACAAGGAACUCCGGGAAAAAUGCCGGAAUAAACUGAAAGAAUUUCAAGCAAAAUUUAUGAAUAAUUCCCGGGAGAAAUCUCUGAAUAAAUCUCACCAGCAAUCGCAGGAGAAGUCCUUGGCGAAAUCUCAGGAGACAUAAAAACAGUGAGAUUUUCCUAAAGAAAUCACAUGAAAAAUCAAUCAUGGAAUCCCGAAUGGAUUCCCUAGAGGAGUCCUAAGAAGAAUAUAUGAACGGAUCUCAGGAAGAAUCCUGAGAAGGACAAAUCAUGGGAUGAAUCCAUACAGGAAUCUCGGGUGGAAUUAUAAGUUUAAACCUUGUAGGAAUUCUUGGAGAUCUCCAUGUAGAAUUAUCGGGAGGAAUUGCUGAAUAUUUUCAGAGAUAAAUUCUUGCGAGAACCCUUGUAUUUAGACAAGGAUAUCCGUGAUAUAAAUUACAUCAGCGCCAUCUGAUACGGCAAUUUUAAACUGUAAAUCUUUCCGACUCGUUGCUCUUAUACUUGAAAAGUUUUGUUGGAAACGCCAUCUCUAUAUCUCUUCGUAGAAUCGAGCAACAGUAAUUUUAUUCAAACCAGUCCCACCUGGUCGGAGAAUUUCCUACUCUGCCUAAGGCUUAUGUACAAAUUUUCCUGGGAAUGCCUUGUGCAAUUAUUGUCUCGGUAUUCCUCUAAUUUCUUCCAGGUUUUCUAUGGGGACUGUUGCCAGAACUUCUAGAGAUGUUCUUCUCUCGGAAUUCUCAAAAUUUCUACCGAUUUUUUUCUGAAAUACCUACAGGAGUAUUUCCGGGACUUCUACUUUUAUUCCUCUUAGCAUUCCUAAUUCCGGUAGAUAUCCCGGAAAACUCCUCUCUAAAAGAAUUCUGGUAACAGGUAAUACAAAAAAAAAAGAUGAUUCCCGGAAUGAGCUCUGUGAGAAAUCACGGAAGGAAAUUUCCGCUCGGCACUCCGAGAUAAAUCCCGGGAAAAUAUGUUGAAGAAAUGCUGGAAGCAACUAUGGUAGGAAUUUUGGUCGAAAUCCGGAAGACACUCUGGGAGAAAUCCUUGGCACAUCUCUGGGAGAUAUCUCGUGAGGAACUGUGGAAAAAUUAUCACGAGGGACUUCUGCAGGAAACUUUAGGGGAAAUCACGAAGAAGACUCCCGUGAGGGAUUUCGGGACAGAUCCAGCAAGGGAGUCUGAGAGAAGCCUCGAAACAAUCUCAGAAAACUUGAAAAUUCCGAAAACAACUUAUGGAGAAAUCCCGCGAAAACUCCUGGAGAAUUUCUAGGAGAAGCCAAGGAGAAAUUCAGGAAAAUAUCUAGAGGUAUAUCUAGUGAGGAACUGUUGGAGAAAUUUCAGCAGAAGUUCGUGGAAUUCGUAAAGAAACGCGAGGAACUUCAGGAGAAAUCCUGAGAAUAUCUCUUGUAGAAAAUGCAAACAAAGAUCUCUGCAUAUCCUGGGCGGAGUUCUACAUUAAAUUCCAGAUUUUCUGGAGAGAUCCCCUAGUGAAAAUCGAAGCAGAUUCCCGGGGAAACUUGAUUCUGGAGAUGUUGAAGAAAACGUGGGAGAAAUCCCGGGAAAAUAUCUGAGAAAAUAUCUGGGAGGUAUUUCGCGAGGAACUUUUCAAGAAAAGAAUAGGAGAAGUUCAUGGAAUUCGUAAAGAAACACCAUGGACUCCAGGAGAAAUCCCGAGAAAAUCUCUGAAAGAAACCUCAGGGGAAUCUUUGGAUGAAAUCUUGGAGAGCAAUUCCAGGAGACGCUCCGGAGAAAUCGAUAUGAAAUUCUGGAAUCUGUGAGACGUCUUGUGAGGAAUUUCUGGAGAAAGAUCAAGACGAAUUCGUAAAGAACCGCGAUGUGCUCCAGGAAAAAAAUAAAGAAAAUCUUCUUGAAAAAAUCCGGAAGGAUCUCACAAUGAAAUUCUACAAAGAACUCCUGGAAAAGUUCCGGGAGGAACUUCUGAAAAUUUCCUGGAGAUAUGUCCAAGAGAAUCCCUGGAAAAUAUCUGGGACAUAUUUUGCGAGAACUGUAGAUCAGGAGUGUUCUUGAUGAAAUCCCGGGUGAACCUCCGAGAGAAAUUACGGGGAAAACUCUUGGAGAAAUCCGGUGAGAAUCGCUCGGAGAAACCCGAAAAAAAUCCGGAAAAACUCCGCGGAAUGAUUCCGUAAGGAAAACCGGGAGAACAUGAAAAAAAAAGUUGAAAAAUUACUUGGGGAAGCUCUGGAAGAUAUCCCGGGAAAUGUUCUAGAAGACAUUCUGGGAGGAACGAGAAAAAUUCCACAAGGAUCUCUUGGAUUAAUUCCGGAAAAGCUUUGCAACAAAUACCGAACGUCGUAGGGCCCGAGGAGGAUUCUUCCCAGAAUCUGAAGAGGAUCGUCCACAGAGUCCACAAAGGAAUCUCCACAAAAUCAGGAUUUCACGGCGAAGGGUUCUCCUAGCCAUGAAUCCCCUCAGCAGAGCACUCUAACAAUCGAACUUGUGACUCUAGCCACACUCAGGAAGAUGUAAAGGCAUCACCGAUAAUCAGGUAUUAUGUGUACCUCAGAUCUAGUAGCUGCGGUAAGAUUAACUGUCAUGAAAUGUACAUCCCGCAAUGUAUGUGAAACUGAUCAUGGUUACAGAACUCUCCAUCUGGCGCCACGAAGAUUAUCAACUGAAUUGCUAUAUCAAGACAGUCGACGAGACUGUCAUAUUGUGGAAGCAGAAGGAAGGUUGUACGGGAAGCUCUCCCAUCAGCGUAGUAUUAUGGUACCGUGACCUUACCAAUUGUCCCUUUAAAUUUUCUUGAGAAAAUUUCCAUUUGCCCUUCAAAAAUUCGAGAAAUCAGAUUGAUUACAUUUUUCUUAUGUUAUUGGCCGGAUUCUGUAAAAAAAUCUCGCCGGGUUCUUUGGAGAAUUCUGUCUAGAAUUUGUGGAGAAUACCAUCCGGAUUCUAUGGAAGAUCAAUUUUGGAUACUGUGGAACAUCUUCGCCAGAUUACGUGGUGAAUUCUCUCCAAAUUCUGUGAAGAAUGCUUGUUGACUUCUGUGGGUAAUCCAAUACGGAUUUUAUGGAGAAUCCUCUCCGGAUUUUAAGGAGAACACUCUCCGAAUUCUGUGGAGAAUCCUCUCCUAAUUAUGUUGAGAAUCCGGACUCUUUGGAGAAUGCUGAGGGAAAUCCUUUCUAGAUUCUGAGGGAAAUCCUUUCUAGAUUCUGUGGAGAAUCCUUUUCGGAUUCUGUGGAGAAGCCUCUACGGAUUCUGUGGAGAGUUCUCUCCAGAUUUUGUGGAGAAUUCUCUCCAGAUUCUGUGGAGAAUCCUCUCUGGAUUAUGUGGAAAAUCCUAUCAGGAUUCUGUUAAGAAUUCUCUCCGAAUUAUAUGGAGAAUCUACUCCUGAUUCUGAGAAGAACCCUCUCCGGAUAUUAAGGAGAAUCUUUUCCAGAUUCUAUGAGUUAUUCGCGCUGAAAUGUGCAGGGAAUCUUCGCUAGAAUCUGUUGAAAAUCCUCUCCGGAUUCUGUAAGGAAUUCUCUGUGGAGAAUCCUCUCCUCAUUCUAUGGAGUAUCCUCUCCGGAUUGUGUGGAUAGUCUCCAUAGUGAAUCGGCAAAUUUUAUGGAAAAUCCUCUCCAAAUUCAGUGGAGCUUCUCGUCAAACAUUGUAGAGAAUCCCCUCUGGAUUCUGUGAAGAAUCCACGCCAAAUUUCAUGAUGAAUCCUCCGAAUCCUCCCUAUAUUCUGUGAAAAAUCCUCUCCAGAUUCUGUAAAAAAAUCUUCUCCGAAUUUGCUGAAGAAUUCUCGCCGGAUUCCAUGGAUGAUCCUUGCUGGAUUACCUAGGAACCUACGAACUUUUAGAAUUUAUUGAAUAAGCUCCAUUCUGAGAUAUCUUUCUCAACGACAAACCCCGGUGUUGUAAUUUUCCAUUACAAGUUAUAGAAUCUUGGUGACAUUCCGUAGCACGCAAUACCUAUUCUUCCGUAAGUUAUGAUCUGUAAACAAUCAGGGAUUCCGAUCCAAGUCAAACAGCUUCAUUAGCUAGUAGCUUACAACACCGGUGACGAUAGCCAGCGCGCGACGUCAAGUUCUCGGCCGCCACCCCACACACCGCACCGGUUCUAAUCACCCUCUUAAUCAUCAUCAUGGUUCACCUACAACCGUUUCGCUUGUGUAAUAAUUAAUACGACUCACCCCCUCUCCCUCGCCUCUU
RNA transcript from Aedes albopictus (Asian tiger mosquito), 16870 nucleotides. RefSeq lists it as uncharacterized. The transcript has 7 exons. Lineage: Eukaryota; Metazoa; Arthropoda; Insecta; Diptera; Culicidae. The record is from RefSeq and is a predicted model, not a curated record.